Molecule: ribosomal RNA, 629 nt
Filed under: Rhodococcus sp. So2Pw_1325
Lineage: Bacteria; Bacillati; Actinomycetota; Actinomycetes; Mycobacteriales; Nocardiaceae
Description: bacterial SSU rRNA
Rfam family: Bacterial small subunit ribosomal RNA
Source: RNAcentral
UGCAGCGACGCCGCGUGAGGGAGAAGGCCUUCGGGUUGUAAACCUCUUUCAGCAGGGACGAAGCGAAAGUGACGGUACCUGCAGAAGAAGCACCGGCUAACUACGUGCCAGCAGCCGCGGUAAUACGUAGGGUGCGAGCGUUGUCCGGAAUUACUGGGCGUAAAGAGUUCGUAGGCGGUUUGUCGCGUCGUCUGUGAAAACCCAUCGCUCAACGAUGGGCCGGCAGGCGAUACGGGCAGACUUGAGUACUGCAGGGGAGACUGGAAUUCCUGGUGUAGCGGUGAAAUGCGCAGAUAUCAGGAGGAACACCGGUGGCGAAGGCGGGUCUCUGGGCAGUAACUGACGCUGAGGAACGAAAGCGUGGGUAGCAAACAGGAUUAGAUACCCUGGUAGUCCACGCCGUAAACGGUGGGCGCUAGGUGUGGGUUCCUUCCACGGGAUCUGUGCCGUAGCUAACGCAUUAAGCGCCCCGCCUGGGGAGUACGGCCGCAAGGCUAAAACUCAAAGGAAUUGACGGGGGCCCGCACAAGCGGCGGAGCAUGUGGAUUAAUUCGAUGCAACGCGAAGAACCUUACCUGGGUUUGACAUAUACUGGAAAGCUGCAGAGAUGUAGCCCCCCUUGUGGCCGG